RNAcentral lists this ribosomal RNA (820 nucleotides) under uncultured organism. RNAcentral describes it as "bacterial SSU rRNA". It matches the Rfam family "Bacterial small subunit ribosomal RNA", at positions 27 to 891 of the family's 1533-position model. The record is from RNAcentral.
GGAUGAACGCUGGCGGUCUGCUUAACACAUGCAAGUCGAACGGGCUCUUCGGAGCUAGUGGCGGACGGGUGAGUAACGCGUGAGAAUCUGCCUUCAGGAGGGGGAUAACGACUGGAAACGGUCGCUAAUACCCCAUAUGCCUCCGGGCGAAAAGUAAUUCGCCUGAAGAUGAGCUCGCGUCAGAUUAGCUAGUUGGUGGGGUAAGAGCCUACCAAGGCGACGAUCUGUAGCUGGUCUGAGAGGAUGAUCAGCCACACUGGGACUGAGACACGGCCCAGACUCCUACGGGAGGCAGCAGUGGGGAAUUUUCCGCAAUGGGCGCAAGCCUGACGGAGCAAGACCGCGUGGAGGAUGACGGCCUAAUGGUUGUAAACCCCUUUUCUCUGGGAAGAAGACUGACGGUACCAGAGGAAUCAGCCUCGGCUAACUCCGUGCCAGCAGCCGCGGUAAUACGGAGGAGGCAAGCGUUAUCCGGAAUUAUUGGGCGUAAAGCGUCCGUAGGUGGUUAUUCAAGUCUGCUGUCAAAGCGUGGGGCUUAACUCCAUAGAGGCAGUGGAAACUGAGUGACUAGAGUGCGGUAGGGGUCGAGGGAAUUCCCAGUGUAGCGGUGAAAUGCGUAGAUAUUGGGAAGAACACCAGUGGCGAAAGCGCUCGACUGGGCCUGCACUGACACUGAGGGACGAAAGCUAGGGGAGCGAAAGGGAUUAGAUACCCCUGUAGUCCUAGCCGUAAACGAUGGAUACUAGGUGUUGCUCGUCAUCGACCCGAGCAGUGCCGUAGCCAACGCGUUAAGUAUCCCGCCUGGGGAGUACGCUCGCAA